Molecule: transfer RNA, 84 nt
Filed under: Salinibacterium sp.
Lineage: Bacteria; Bacillati; Actinomycetota; Actinomycetes; Micrococcales; Microbacteriaceae
Also listed under: 4 other names
Description: tRNA-Leu
Rfam family: tRNA
About the family: Transfer RNA (tRNA) molecules are approximately 80 nucleotides in length.
Source: RNAcentral
GCGGGAGUGGUGAAAUUGGCAGACACGCAGGAUUUAGGUUCCUGUGCCCGAAAGGGCGUGCGGGUUCAAGUCCCGCCUUCCGCA